CGCGAAUGGCUCAUUACAACAGCUUUAGUUUACAGGAUGAUGCUAUUUAAUGGAUAACUGUGGUAAUUCUAGAGCUAAUACAUGCACUUAUAUCCAACCCGCAAGGGAUGGAUGCAGUUAUUAGAAUAAAACCAAGCAGGCUUGCCUGCAACUUGGUGACUCUGAAUAACCCAGUGAUCGCACGGUCUUCGAACCGGCGACAUAUCCUUCAAAUGUCUGCCUUAUCAACUGUCGACUGUAGUUUAUGCGCCUACAGUGGUUGUAACGGGUAACGGAGAAUUAGGGUUCGACUCCGGAGAGGGAGCCUGAAAAACGGCUACCACAUCUAAGGAAGGCAGCAGGC
RNAcentral lists this ribosomal RNA (343 nucleotides) under Anoplostoma sp. PB-2006. RNAcentral's name for it is "SSU rRNA". It matches the Rfam family "Eukaryotic small subunit ribosomal RNA", at positions 88 to 433 of the family's 1831-position model. The record is from RNAcentral. Lineage: Eukaryota; Metazoa; Nematoda; Enoplea; Enoplida; Anoplostomatidae.